Molecule: ribosomal RNA, 276 nt
Filed under: uncultured Spirochaeta sp.
Lineage: Bacteria; Pseudomonadati; Spirochaetota; Spirochaetia; Spirochaetales; Spirochaetaceae
Description: partial 16S ribosomal RNA
Rfam family: Bacterial small subunit ribosomal RNA
Source: RNAcentral
UACUCAUCUGUUGCCAGCAUUUAAGUGGGGACUCAGAUGAGACUGCCGGUGACAAACCGGAGGAAGGUGGGGACGACGUCAAGUCAUCAUGGCCCUUAUGUCCUGGGCUACACACGUGCUACAAUGGCCGGUACAGAGUGAAGCGAAACCGCGAGGUGAAGCAAAACGCAGAAAGCCGGUCUCAGUACGGAUUGGAGCCUGAAACUCGACUUCAUGAAGUUGGAAUCGCUAGUAAUCGCGCAUCAGCAUGGCGCGGUGAAUACGUUCCCGGGCCUU